Molecule: ribosomal RNA, 373 nt
Filed under: uncultured organism
Description: partial 16S ribosomal RNA
Rfam family: Bacterial small subunit ribosomal RNA
Source: RNAcentral
GGAGGGUGCAAGCGUUAUUCGGAAUCACUGGGCGUAAAGAGCGCGUAGGCGGGUUUCUAAAGUCAGAUGUGAAAGCCCGGGGGCUCAACCUCGGAAGUGCAUUUGAAACUUAGGGACUUGAGUAUGGGAGAGGGAAGUGGAAUUCCUGGUGUAGCGGUGAAAUGCGUAGAUAUCAGGAGGAACACCGGUGGCGAAGGCGACUUCCUGGACCAAUACUGACGCUGAGGCGCGAAGGCGUGGGGAGCAAACAGGAUUAGAUACCCUGGUAGUCCACGCAGUAAACGUUGAACACCAGGUGUAGCGGGUAUUGACCCCUGCUGUGCCGCAGCUAACGCAUUAAGUGUUCCGCCUGGGGAGUACGGCCGCAAGGCUA